GAGGCCAUGGGGUCAUUUCUCAUUCAAGCUACUACUACACCACGUUCUCGGCUGCCCCUUCCCGCUGCGGCCUUUUUCAAACAUUGGAUCAGGAAGGCAAGAUGCGGAGAGAAACCGGACCUCAUCAACCCCGGCCCCCAUAAGUCACAGUGGACACUUUAGGCAACAGCUGGGAGCGAUCGUCUCAACAAAAAACCAAACUGAGUCAUGAAGGAUUUGGGUAAAGGGGUCAGGCUGGGGCCAGCGACCCUACAGCGGGGGCUCUGAGACCAUCUGUGGGUCGCUGGAGCUUCCAGGGACCAGGGUGCUUCUCCGACAUUUGGAAAGCACUAACAGCAAAACGGCCCAUCUGCUGCCGCGCCAGCUGUUCUGAGCCUUGCAGGAAACUCAAAACCACUCUUGGAUGGGUACCAAAGUGUUGAGGAAGAAACGGAGGCAGGGAUGGAGAUCGUGAACGCCACGGCUGGGGGAUGGCAUCGCUGACAGCGGCUAGGGAGACGGCGGGGGCGCCCACGCCCAGGAGACCCUCCAUCCAGGAUGCACGCCUGGUGGCCAUCCCCCAGGGCAACCUGAAAAGUCUCGGGCAGACGCGGGAGGGGACAGCGGAGGGAGGGCUCACCUUUCUGAGAGGAACACGGGCCGGGGCCUCGCACACCUGAGGCAGAAGUGACUCCCGCACAGGCCGCCUGGACUACACUUCCCAGAAUUCCCGAGGGGAGCAGGGACAACACAGAGACUCGUGCAGAGGAAGUUAUCCUUGAACACCGGGGAUCCCCGGACUACAUUUCCCAAAAUUCCCGACCGGUAGGGCGGACCUCUAAGCCUCCUACGGCGGGAGUUAUCCUAGUAUCCCGGGGUUGGGAGUGUUGUGGACUACAUAUCCCAGAAUUCUCAGAGUGCUCUCGUCACUUCUCUGGAGCAGAAGUACAGCCAUCAAGAAAGUAAGCUAAAUAUCACAAUGUCGAGGUCCGGAACAACGUCUUUAGCGUCCCUGAAGACAAAAAUUUUCUAACCACGAAGCUUACCCACCUUUCUGUGGGGGGCUGUGUGUUAAACAAUGCCUUUCUAGAGAGCGUCAGGGACUGUGUGGGACUUCUGGGCUACAGGAAAGUCUUUCCAGCCACUGGGCUUCCUUCCCUUCGAGAUCAUUUGCAUGGUCACCUGAGUUUGGGGAUUCUUAGUCUGAAACAAUUCUACCGACCGCUUCUCACCUUCAGCUCUCCAACCUUCACCCUCUUUGUAAUCUUGGAAAAGGAAAACUUUCCAAAACGUGACACUCAAGUAAACUCAAGCAAAGCAAACCCAACAGAGCUGCCACCCACCCAGUCUAAGAGGUUCUCCUAUAGAAAGAGCAUGGAGGGACUUGGAAUACAGAGAGGAGAAUGUUCUGCCCAGAUUAGGACCCCCAAAGAGACCACCAGAGACCAAAGAUAUCCAGAAUGCAAUAGCAAGGUUUACUUCUCAGUGCAAUAUGAGCUAGCAAGGAACCCUCGUCUGCAGUGCCCAGCGAGGCAGGGAGGAGAGUUCCUCUUCCUUGGGGAGGUUAGCUUUUGAAGGCAAAAACCACAAAAUCCUUCAGAGAGGAGGGGGUUAGUAUGGGUCCACCCUUGAUUGGUCCAGUUUUCCUGAGCUUGGACUUUAUCUUAUUUUUUGCUCUGUCAGGAGUUUUACAGCCCAUCUCCAAAAUUUGGUCAUCUUAUCUCGGGUGAGGGGGUCGUCUCGUGGUUAGUAACCAGACAGUCUGAUUUUGUACUUUUAAAACUUCUGACUUCACCCUGUCUGGGAAUGGGGAACUGACUCGGUUCUGGCUAUUUAAAAAUGUCCCUUUCCUCAGCUCUCUGGGCCUUAGGGGGAACUGGGGUGGGGGUCUCUCAGAUAAGAAAACCAAGUUAUACAAAAGAAAUGAAUCAAUAAUUUUAAGUACAUGCACAGGUGUGUGUGUGUGUGUGUGUGUGUGUGUGUGUGUGUGUGUGUGUGUACUCACCAUGUGAGUGAGUGUAGUGCCCAAGGAAGCCAAAAGAGGGUGUCAGUUCCCCCGAAACGACUUACAGACAAGGCAAGCUUAGAUCAUUCUGUCAGAGGACUCUCUAGACCAGUGGUUCUCAGCCUUCAUGCUUCACCCCUUUAAUAUUGCUCCUCAUGUUGUGGUUACCUCCAACUAUAAAACUGUUUUCAUUGCUACUUCAUAACUGUAAUUUUGCUGUUAUGAAUUGUAAUGCAAACAUCUUUUUUCCCCAUGACCUUAGGUGACCUCUAAGGGGUCGAGCCCCACAGGUUGAGAACCACUACUCAUCCCCUGGGGAGUCGUCCCCUGGGGAGGAAAUUGUACUCACAGUAACCUUUAGCAGCCAGAACUUUGGGUUUCUUUUUCCUAUUUCAGGGAAUUCACACAUCUAAAUAACAGUGCAUGUUUUCACUAGGCAUGCUAGGUCUUGCAAGAACUAUGCUCAUAUAAAUUAAUAGAAAGCCAGACAGGCUACAGAUCAGAACACUGAUGAUUUCAAAGUUUCAAAAUUAUUUGUUCCAAAGGAACUCUACUCUGGGCCUUCAGCUCAAUUCUCCACCUCGUUUUAGGAACUACUUUUCUGAGCUGGGCAGCGGAGGUGCACGCCUUUAAUCCCAGCACUUAGAAGGCAGAGGCAGGUGGAUCUCUGAGUUUGAGGACAGCUUGGUCUACAGAGUGAGUUCCAGGACAGCUAGGGCUAUAAGAAAAACUUUUUCUCAAUAAUAGUAAUAAUAAUACUUUUCUGAGAUCAAGGCUUCAGACACACAGUAAUUUACAGGGAUAAAAUUCAUCAUUUAGGGAUAAAGAUCAGAACAGACACA
This is a long non-coding RNA of Peromyscus maniculatus bairdii (prairie deer mouse), 2826 nucleotides long. RefSeq lists it as uncharacterized. The record is from RefSeq and is a predicted model, not a curated record. NCBI's taxonomy places the organism in Eukaryota, Metazoa, Chordata, Mammalia, Rodentia, Cricetidae.